Molecule: transfer RNA, 72 nt
Filed under: Cyclospora cayetanensis
Lineage: Eukaryota; Apicomplexa; Conoidasida; Eucoccidiorida; Eimeriidae
Rfam family: tRNA
About the family: Transfer RNA (tRNA) molecules are approximately 80 nucleotides in length. Their secondary structure includes four short double-helical elements and three loops (D, anti-codon, and T loops).
Source: Rfam by way of RNAcentral
GCCAUCAUAGCUUAGUGGUAGAGCAUCGGUCUUGUAAACCGAAGGUCGUGGGUUCGAUUCCCAUUGGUGGCU